Molecule: ribosomal RNA, 700 nt
Filed under: uncultured bacterium
Lineage: Bacteria
Description: bacterial SSU rRNA
Rfam family: Bacterial small subunit ribosomal RNA
Source: RNAcentral
UAGAGUUUGAUCAUGGCUCAGAUUGAACGCUGGCGGCAUGCUUUACACAUGCAAGUCGAGCGGCAGCGCGGGGGCAACCCUGGCGGCGAGCGGCGAACGGGUGAGUAAUGCAUCGGAACGUGUCCCGUAAUGGGGGAUAACGCCGCGAAAGCGGCGCUAAUACCGCAUACGCUCUACGGAGGAAAGUGGGGGAUUCGCAAGGACCUCACGUUAGGGGAGCGGCCGAUGUCCGAUUAGCUAGUUGGUGGGGUAACGGCCCACCAAGGCGACGAUCGGUAGCUGGUCUGAGAGGAUGAUCAGCCACACUGGGACUGAGACACGGCCCAGACUCCUACGGGAGGCAGCAGUGGGGAAUUUUGGACAAUGGGGGCAACCCUGAUCCAGCCAUGCCGCGUGCGGGAAGAAGGCCUUCGGGUUGUAAACCGCUUUUAGUCGGGAAGAGAAGGCGCGAGUUAAUACCUCGUGUUGUUGACGGUACCGGCGGAAUAAGCACCGGCUAACUACGUGCCAGCAGCCGCGGUAAUACGUAGGGUGCGAGCGUUAAUCGGAAUUACUGGGCGUAAAGCGUGCGCAGGCGGUUCGUUGUGUCGGUGGUGAAAGCCCCGGGCUUAACCUGGGAAUGGCCAUGGAAACUGGCGAACUGGAGUGUGGCAGAGGGGGGUGGAAUUCCGCGUGUAGCAGUGAAAUGCGUUCACACAGG